This 368-nucleotide ribosomal RNA is filed under the name Proteus anguinus (olm). RNAcentral describes it as "partial 12S ribosomal RNA". It matches the Rfam family "Bacterial small subunit ribosomal RNA", at positions 840 to 1384 of the family's 1533-position model. The record is from RNAcentral. Lineage: Eukaryota; Metazoa; Chordata; Amphibia; Caudata; Proteidae.
UACUAUGCUAAUUAUAAACCUUGACACAUCCGCCAGAGUACUACGAGCCACAGCUUAAAACUCAAAGGACUUGGCGGUGCUUUAAACCCACCUAGAGGAGCCUGUUCUGUAAUCGAUACCCCCCGAUAAACCUCACCGCACUUAGCCACUCAUCCUAUAUACCACCGUCCUCGCCCACCCUUUAAAGGAACAACAAUGGGCAAAGUAAUAAACAUUAAAACGUCAGGUCAAGGUGUAGCCCAUAAUGCGGGAAGAAAUGGGCUACAUUUUCUUAUCAGAAAAUACGGAUGACCAAAUGAAAUACCCCCAGAAGGAGGAUUUAGUAGUAAAGAGAAAAAAGAGUCUCUUAAUAAGGCAAUAAAGCGCGC